UACGUAGGGGCCUAGCGUUGUCCGGCAUUAUUGGGCGUAAAGCGCGUGUAGGCGGCCUUGCAAGUCGGGUGUGAAAGCCCUCAGCUCAACUGAGGAAGCGCGCCCGAAACUGCAGAGCUUGAGUACCGGAGAGGAUGGCGGAAUUCCCCAAGUAGAGGUGAAAUUCGUAGAUAUGGGGAGGAACACCGGUGGCGAAGGCGGCCAUCUGGACGGAUACUGACGCUGAGACGCGAAAGCGUGGGGAGCAAACAGG
This 253-nucleotide ribosomal RNA is filed under the name uncultured bacterium. Its description in RNAcentral is "partial 16S ribosomal RNA". It matches the Rfam family "Bacterial small subunit ribosomal RNA", at positions 524 to 776 of the family's 1533-position model. The record is from RNAcentral.